UUCUCCUAACUCUUCCAUUCUUAUCUUCCUUAAGGCUGAACACUUGAGGAGUGGUGCUCCAUAGAGUGAAAAUGGGGCUGACAACAUUAUUGAGCCAAGGUUGCAGAGGAAGUUUCUUCUUCUUCUCCAUUUUUUUCUUCUCUCACGGAACUUCGAAAUCAAGAAUUGCGAUGACCAUACUUUAAUAUGCGAGCAGAUCAAGGGUAGAUGCUUGACAGUGUUGGGAAGGCAAGCUUUUGGCUGUGACUUAGUCAAGGAGUUAAUAUUUUGUUGUUCAUAUUAUGAUCGGCUGCCUAGUUGUUUUGAAUAGAAUAUCAUAUCAUACUCUGAGUUGUAUAUAUGUAUAUGGGAUUUAAAGUUGUUCGUUCUCAUUAUGUAUAUAGUUGUCGGGAUGUGAUAUUUUAUUUUAUGCAUGUAUCUGUAUGGUA
Long non-coding RNA from Cajanus cajan (pigeon pea), 428 nucleotides. RefSeq lists it as uncharacterized. The record is from RefSeq and is a predicted model, not a curated record. NCBI's taxonomy places the organism in Eukaryota, Viridiplantae, Streptophyta, Magnoliopsida, Fabales, Fabaceae.